Molecule: long non-coding RNA, 1568 nt
Organism: Aedes albopictus (Asian tiger mosquito)
Lineage: Eukaryota; Metazoa; Arthropoda; Insecta; Diptera; Culicidae
Exons: 3
Source: RefSeq, a predicted model, not a curated record
AUCGCGAGCAGAACUGUUGUUUAUUGGCGGGGCAAUUCACCGAGUAGCGCAGCAGCAAAAAUGACACCGGCGGCUGCUAGACCAAACUACCGGAUCUCAGUGUCGACGUUCUUCGUCAAGUCGCGCCCGAGCGACGAGUGUUGCCGCUGAUUCCGAUUUGGAAUUUACGCGAGGCCGCAGCGUUUGUGUGCAGAUAAAGUAUGAAUACGGUGUGCAGAUAAAGUAUGAAUACCUGUGCUAAUAUGGACAUUGUGCUAGGAAACAGGAAGAUUAUUGUUCAGGAGAAUUCGGGGAAUCCGCUGUGGCAGCAGUCACGUUCAUCGGAGGAGAACAAGUAGGAUACGCUAUUAAGGGUCGGCGAUCAGAUGUUUAGGCCGCUGUGUCAUCUGAAUCGGGAUUGGCUGAUAUUCUGGAGCAUGUAACCGGUGAACGUUCUGAUAAGCAGAAAUUUGGCGAAGUUGUAUAAUAAUGGACUGACUUUCGGCGGAAUAAGGUGUGUCAUUCCCAAUAAUGAAAAUGCAUUGCUAUUGUCCGAAAGUAAUAGUGAAGGGAAAACCAUCAGGGCACCGGAUCCGGACCGGAUGCAACUGAAACUGAAUAAGAAAGCUGAUUAAAAUGACAUCUAUUUGUCACUACUCAAUAAAUCAACGAAAGAAGCAAGAAAGCAUCUUGAGUACAAAACGGCCUCUACGGUGAAUGAAUACGCCUCGGCCAUUUUAGCCUGGAAAAAAUAGCAUCCAGCUAUGCUACGAUACUCGCUCUAGUACACACAGCACGUACUGUGAUCCCAGGAUGAAGAGGUAAAAUCAUUCCAACUAACGUCAAUUGCGAAGAAAAACCUUCAAGAACCGUCGUUUCCACAUCCAGCAGUUCUACUUUGUUCUACGACUGCAAAAUUUAAUGCUCGCUGGUGCAGAUAUCAUUACAAGCAGAAGUCAGUUGUGACGGUCAUGACAGCAGUCUUUACCACGUAGAUAUGUAUCAAGCAUGCAGCCAUUCCUGACAACCAUGGCUGGUAUUCAUCACGCUUCAAGACCAAAUCGGUUACUUGGCAAGCAGGGACUAUUGCGCUGUCAAUUGAUCUCACAAUCGUCACGUCUCAAACGGGGUUGAAUUUCAUCAAAAUAUGUAUAUUGUUGAACAUUAUUUGAUACAUAAAAUUGUGAGGGGAAGGGGUCUAGGAAGGGGUAGUUUCACCAGUAACUUUAAAAUAUCCGAAAACCCCCAAAAAAUAAUAAAACGUCUUAAUGCACCGUAAGUAUGGUCCAUCAGCAUGGCACGGUCAACAGCAAACUAGUCUAUCCGACUCUAAAAAUCAUGAAUUUGCUUCGAAAAAUUUGGACGUGACUUCUUUAAGAAGUUGUUCCAUAGGUCCAAGACUAUUUUGAUCUUAUUAGGCUCACCCACCACGUCCUCACACAUUGCAUGGAAAUGCAAGAAACAUAAUUUUGAAACAGUUCACUUCUUGACUUCCAGUGUAAUACCCUUUGGGUUCACCAGGUCCACCCGAACUGCAUGGUGAUGCAAGAAACUUACUUUUGAAACAGUUCACUUCUGGAGCUGUUCCA